AAGCUAUCGCCGCUGCCAACCUAUCUAUUGCUGCAAGCUAUCCCUCACUGCUAAGCUAUCGCUGCCAACCUAUCUAUCGCUGCCAAUUUAUCUACCACUGCCAAUCUAUCUAUUGCUGCUAAUCUAUCGCUGCUGUCAAUCUAUCUAUCGCUGCUAAUCUAUCGCCGCUGCCAAUCUAUCGCCGCUGCCAAUCUAUCCCUCGCUGCUAAGCUAUCCCUCGCUGCUAAGCUAUCGCUGCCAACCUCUCUAUUGCUGCAAGCUAUCCCUCACUGCUAAGCUAUCGCUGCCAACCUCUCUAUUGCUGCCAAUUUAUCUACCACUGCCAAUCUAUCUAUUGCUGCUAAUCUAUCGCUGCUGUCAAUCUAUCUAUCGCUGCUAAUCUAUCGCCGCUGCCAAUCUAUCCCUCACUGCUAAGCUAUCCCUCGCUGCUAAGCUAUCACUGCCAAUCUAUCGCUGCUAAUCUAUCCCUCGCUGCUAAGCUAUCCCUCACUACUAAGCUAUCUAUCACUGCUAAUCUAUCACUGCCAACCUAUCUAUCACUGCCAAUCUAUCUAUCGCUGCUAAUCUAUCGCUGCUAAUCUAUUGCUGCUAAUCUAUCGCUGCCAACCUAUCUACCGCGGCGAAUCUAUCUAUCGUUGCCAAUUUAUCUACCACUGCCAAUCUAUCUAUCGCUGCCAAUCUAUUGCUGCUAAUCUAUCGCUGCUAAUCUAUCGCUGCUGCCAAUCUAUCUUUCGCUGCUAAUCUAUCGCCGCUGCCAAUCUAUCCCUCGCUGCUAAGCUAUCCCUCGCUGCUAAGCUAUCCCUCACUGCUAAGCUAUCUCUCGCUGCUAAGCUAUCCCUCGCUGCUAAGCUAUCCCUCACUACUAAGCUAUCUAUCACUGCUAAUCUAUCACUGCCAACCUAUCUAUCACUGCCAAUCUAUCUAUCGCUGCUAAUCUAUCGCUGCUAAUCUAUUGCUGCUAAUCUAUCGCUGCCAACCUAUCUACCGCGGCGAAUCUAUCUAUCACUAUCAUUACUAGUUCAAAAUAGAACUAGAGCAUAAAUACACUAAACUUCUUUUGAUAGGUAAUGAUUUUUGGUAACGCUUAUAGCAUUAUAUCAUCUAUAUAGGGUAAAUCAUGGUCCCAUUUGGUCCCAUUUUGUUAAAAUGGGAUCAAAUGGGACCAGAAUCAGUAAUUUAUAAGAAGAACAUGACCUGGGACUAGAUUUAUAAUAUAAACAGUGUAAAGUGACUAAUUUAAUAAACACUAUAUGAGACCAGAACUAAGAAAUUUGA
Molecule: small RNA, 1275 nt
Filed under: Histoplasma ohiense
Lineage: Eukaryota; Fungi; Ascomycota; Eurotiomycetes; Onygenales; Ajellomycetaceae
Description: hypothetical lncRNA
Source: RNAcentral